This 325-nucleotide ribosomal RNA is filed under the name uncultured bacterium. RNAcentral's name for it is "bacterial SSU rRNA". It matches the Rfam family "Bacterial small subunit ribosomal RNA", at positions 29 to 349 of the family's 1533-position model. The record is from RNAcentral.
AACGAACGCUGGCGGCGUGGAUUAGGCAUGCAAGUCGAGCGAGAAAGGGGCCUUCGGGCCCUGAGUAAAGCGGCGAACUGGUGAGUAACAGGUGGGUAACGUGCCCUAAAGUUGGGGAUAACUCCGAGAAAUCGGUGCUAAUACCGAAUGUGGCUGUUUGAGUUUCGGCUCGAGCAGUUAAAGGCUUCGGUCGCUUUGGGAUCGGCCCGCCCUCGAUUAGCUAGUUGGUGAGGUAACGGCUCACCAAGGCUUCGAUCGAUAGCUGGUCUGAGAGGAUGGUCAGCCACACUGGAACUGAGAUACGGUCCAGACUCCUACGGGGGCG